This 447-nucleotide unclassified non-coding RNA is filed under the name Hevea brasiliensis (rubber tree). Lineage: Eukaryota; Viridiplantae; Streptophyta; Magnoliopsida; Malpighiales; Euphorbiaceae. The record is from RNAcentral.
GUUUCUGUUUAUCAGCUAACCAUAUCAUAGCUUUGUGGUUCUCAGUGAUGAGACGAGCUCAUUUUUUGUGCAAUUUUUGAUCCCUAGUUUCUUAAAAACCUUACCGUUCAUUUUUUUGGUAUAAUUGUUAUUUUUAUUGGUUUGAUUACUAGGAAUUACAAGGCGCAAUGGAUGAAUGAUUAGGAAUUUGUGUUUUGUGCAUUUUAAGAUUAUGCUUUUUGAAACCCUAAUUUUCUCUUUCUAUACUUUACUUGGGAUCUUUUGUGCUGGGUCGUUGUUUGAGAGUUUGUCGGAGAUUGGAUGAGUAAUUGGUGAUUUAUGAUUGUUGUCUAAUGAUUUGUGCUUUUUAAACCCUAAUUUUCCUUCGAAAACCUAAUUAUCUUCCUUCUGUUGGCUUAGGUGCAGUUUUCCCCUGGUUUUGGUUGCUAAGUGUUAGUAGGAUAUCGU